Molecule: non-coding RNA, 1847 nt
Organism: Procambarus clarkii (red swamp crayfish)
Lineage: Eukaryota; Metazoa; Arthropoda; Malacostraca; Decapoda; Cambaridae
Source: RefSeq, a predicted model, not a curated record
UGCGUGUCUGGGGUUACCAAGGACGCUGGUUCAAUCCCCAUCUUGCUCCAAAGAUGUUUCUCAUUCAAGGAAAGUUUUCAAGAGAAAUCGCUAAGCCAGUAUAACCAUACAGUACUUGGAUGGGACCUGAGGACAAGGAGCUGGGAUAGGAAAACGAAGGAAAAGACCGGUCCCCAUUCCGGCCUGCUUUCCCCCUCUAGCCUCAAGUUCCGUGCAACCCCAGGCACACCAACGCUCAUACCAUCAAGUUAUUUUAUCCUUCUGUGGUUAAAGAAUCUCAACCCAUGUCGAAAUAAAAGACAAAAUAAAGAGCGUACAGUACGUUUAAGUGAAGCAGCGGACUAUAAAUAAAAACGGGCUGCCACAAGGGCAUCAAGUUUGGUGUUGUAGUCUGUGAGCGUAAACCCGCGUCAUGAGGCUUGGCCAACCUCCAGCCGGCCGGCCGCCUCCCACACCCCCCACGGGCCUUCUCCCUACAGGAGGUGGUAGGCCCUGCUUUCUUCAUACUCCAUCCCUCGUAAUUCUGGGACGAGCCUAAUUGUAAACCUCUGGAUCUUUUCUAGUUUCCCCAUGUGCUUUUUGAGACAUUUCAGGGAUGUAGUUUCCCUUCAAUGUGUGCCGUCCAUUUGGUCUCCUGUCACCUACUCCCAAUUAUAUCACAUUACACAUGCUUCUGUUGAAAUGCAGCAGCCAUUUCCAAGCACAACUCUGCAGCUUGUUUACGUCAUCUCGGUAAAUGUAUUUUAAAAUCCUCAUGUGUCUCGAUUCAUCUAUUUACGUUUGCAUCGUCUGCAAGCAACAUCGACAUGCUCACUUGUGCAUUUUGGUGAAACCUGACUUAAUUCUUACUUGUAAGAUAACACAAAAAUAUAUACUCACAAUAAAAUGCAGCAAGCAAAGUAGUGGAGUAAUUUAAAAAUAGGCUUAUCUAUUCAGGGUGAUUGGUGGGCUUAUUUGUUGCUUGUUACCUUGGUCCGGUCUGGCUUGCAGGAGGAUAAGAACCCAGGCAUGUCUGGAGUAGCAUUGAGGUGUUUUCUCUCCUUGGACUUUAGCUUUGUCAAGGCUGAGGUGCCAGUCUCGCACCAGUGAAUGGUCGAAAAAAGAAGAGUGAGGAGGAGGAGAAAGGGGAAGACUAGGAAGGAAGAUCUGGUAAAUGGAUAUCAAGAACCAUGUUCGCCAGCCCAGAGAUACCGUUAAUCAUCAUGUUCGCCAGCCCAGAGUUACCGUUAAUCAUCAUGUUCGCCAGCCCAGAGUUACGGUUAAUCAUCAUGUUCGCCAGCCCAGAGUUACCGUUAAUCAUGUUCGCCAGCCCAGAGUUACCGUUAAUCAUGUUCGCCAGCCCAGUUACCGUUAAUCAUCAUGUUCGCCAGCCCAGAGAUGCCGUUAAUCAUCAUGUUCGCCAGCCCAGAGUUACCGUUAAUCAUCAUGUUCGCCAGCCCAGAGUUACCGUUAAUCACGUUCGCCAGCCCAGAGUUACUUCAGCUCAUCAUGCUCGGCAGCCUACUCUUAGAUACAUAUGAUGACCAAACCACCCACCUGAAGAUGAAGAAACGACGACGUUUCAGUCCGUCUUGAACCAUUAUCAAGUCGUAUGUGAUACAUAUUGUUCGAUAGCCCAGCACUAUCGAUAUGUGAUACAAAUCGCUUGGAUACAUAUGUUCAAUAGUCCGGGACUACCAUAAGCUCCCAAAGUUGGGUUAACUAUGACAUUUAAAAUUUAAUAUUUGUAAUAAAUCGAAUUAUCAACUUAUAACUGUGGUCAUUUAAAUUCCUCACCACUCAACAUUUAAGCAAUGAUAAUCAUCAAUUUGUACCAAUUUACGUGAGAAAUGUGGUUAAUAUUUAAA